UCCAGAUCAGCCCUAUCCAAACCCACCUACCUAUUUAAGCAGUCAAACCCUAAAAUCUAGGAUCCUUGUCCCAUCCAUUCCCUCCCCAAUUCCCGUAGCGCCGCCGCCACCAUCUCCCUCGGGAUCUCCUCCCGACCAACCCCCCUUCCUCCUCGUUGUGCGUUCGCACCCAACAGAGCGCUCGUGUGCAGCCGCCGCUUCCCCGCAGGCGUCCGCGCGCAGUAGCAGCACCCAGCCUCCAGGUCGGCCAUGUCCCUCUCCGUCCCCCCUCCCUGUGUUCCUCUGCUCCCUUCCCUCCUAGUCGCUGUGUCUCAUUCCUCUCCCCCUGUUGCACUGCAGCAACAUCUUCGAAGGAGCACCGCCAGCAGCGUACGGACGCAGCAACGGCCCCAUCUACGCGCACCUCGCCGCUAGUGUCGGUUGGGCACCGGCACCCCUUCUGCCAGCUGCGCCUAUCGGUGACCCCGACCUCGUCCAAGCAGCGUGCAGCGCUAGCAGGGGAUCGACCCCGGGCUUCCCGAGAUCCUCUGCUCGCGAGGCAGGCUCCACCUCAGGUGCCUCCCUGCAGCCGCGCCAUGGGCAUCGGCCACCUCCCAGGUCGGCACGUCGGAGCCUCUCCUUCCCCUACCCUCUCUGCUUUUCUCUUCUCCCAUCUCUGCUAAGCUCUCUCUUCUCUCGUUGACCAGGGCAGAGGAACCCGUCGCCGCCUUGAUGGAGGUCGCCGUCCGCGCCUCCCCAAGAUCCCUCGUCGUCGGGAAUGGGUGGCCCGAGCCCGGAUCUGCCCAUCCCGAGCCUUUCCCGUUCGUUUCUCAAGCCGUCACGCGCUGCCGGCUGAGUCAACUUGCUGUUGACCGCGCCCUGUGCUCCCUCUCGUGCUGCAGGAGCUCCAACCAGGGCCCGAUGCUCAAGCUGCACCACGCCGCCACCGACUGACUCCGGGAAUGGUUGGACCCGUGCUCUCCUCACCCGUUCAGCCGAUGCGUCGAUGAACCAACCAGCUGCAGCAGCAGGUCCCUAUGCCUCACUCUUCUUCUUCCUCCCCUGCUCUCCCCCUCUUUCUGAAUUUUUUCUCUGAACUUGUCUGAAUCAGCACCUGCAGGAGCCCCAUGGCUGCCGUCUCGUCGCCGUGAACCUCACCGUCGGAGCCCUUCCAGCCGGAUCCGCACCCGACCGUACCCCCCUAUCCAUUCCCGGCCUCCGAGUCCGCCAUCUUCGCCGAAGCAUCGCGCCGUCGACCUCUGCAUCCCCAUUGUGAGCAGUCCUCCCGAUCUGAAUUCAGUCUCCUCUAGAUCCGUUCUGGCAAGGACAUGUUGUCUAUAGUGGGCACUGGUCCUGUCAACGAGUUGUAGGCUAGCUGAGUUGGCUAGCGCAGCCAACUGCUGUGAUGGAGGUCCCCGGUUCGACUCCCGUGCGCCCCAGAUUUUAUGUUUCAUUUUCUUUUGUGGUGCACCAGCUCAUAUUUGUUCCCGUCUUGGCUAGUUGAUAUACAUUCGAAUUCCUUUCAUGCUAGUAACAGAGUUUAGUGCAGUGGCUAGCAACCUUAUUUUCAAAUGAGAGGUCCAGGGAUCAUAUCCCCAUCAGUGCAUAUUAUUUUUUUUAGGAAUUUUGCCUCCAGCGCACCAGCUUCUGUCAUACUUGUGGAUGUGCUGUUUUGUCAAUUUUGAAACAACCACUUAAUUAGUCUGGUG
This 1688-nucleotide long non-coding RNA is filed under the name Hordeum vulgare. RNAcentral describes it as "long non-coding RNA (HVUL_LNC015224)". Lineage: Eukaryota; Viridiplantae; Streptophyta; Magnoliopsida; Poales; Poaceae. The record is from RNAcentral.